ACGCGCGGAACCUUACCAGGUCUUGACAUCCCAUUGACCGCUAUGGAGACAUAGCUUUCCCUUCGGGGACAGUGGUGACAGGUGGUGCAUGGUUGUCGUCAGCUCGUGUCGUGAGAUGUUGGGUUAAGUCCCGCAACGAGCGCAACCCUUGUUCUUAGUUGCCAUCAUUUAGUUGGGCACUCUAAGGAGACUGCCGGUGACAAACCGGAGGAAGGUGGGGAUGACGUCAAAUCAUCAUGCCCCUUAUGACCUGGGCUACACACGUGCUACAAUGGACGGUACAAACGGUUGCCAACCCGCGAGGGGGAGCUAAUCCGAUAAAACCGUUCUCAAUUCGGAUUGUAGGCUGCAACUCGCCUACAUGAAGCCGGAAUCGCUAGUAAUCGCGGAUCAGCAUGCCGCGGUGAAUACGUUCCCGGGCCUUGCACUCACCGCCCGU
RNAcentral lists this ribosomal RNA (439 nucleotides) under uncultured bacterium. Its description in RNAcentral is "bacterial SSU rRNA". It matches the Rfam family "Bacterial small subunit ribosomal RNA", at positions 959 to 1397 of the family's 1533-position model. The record is from RNAcentral.